This 372-nucleotide ribosomal RNA is filed under the name uncultured organism. RNAcentral's name for it is "partial 16S ribosomal RNA". It matches the Rfam family "Bacterial small subunit ribosomal RNA", at positions 527 to 896 of the family's 1533-position model. The record is from RNAcentral.
GUAGGUGGCAAGCGUUGUCCGGAAUUAUUGGGCGUAAAGCGCGCGCAGGCGGUUCUUUAAGUCUGAUGUGAAAGCCCACGGGCUCAACCGUGGAGGGUCAUUGGAAACUGGAGAACUUGAGUGCGGAAGAGGAAAGCGGAAUUCCACGUGUAGCGGUGAAAUGCGUAGAGAUGUGGAGGAACACCAGUGGCGAAGGCGGCUUUCUGGUCUGUAACUGACGCUGAGGCGCGAAAGCGUGGGGAGCAAACAGGAUUAGAUACCCUGGUAGUCCACGCCGUAAACGAUGAGUGCUAAGUGUUAGGGGGUUUCCGCCCCUUAGUGCUGCAGCUAACGCAUUAAGCACUCCGCCUGGGGAGUACGGCCGCAAGGCUG